RNAcentral lists this transfer RNA (74 nucleotides) under Candidatus Latescibacterota bacterium. RNAcentral describes it as "tRNA-Val". It matches the Rfam family "tRNA". From Rfam's summary of the family: Transfer RNA (tRNA) molecules are approximately 80 nucleotides in length. Their secondary structure includes four short double-helical elements and three loops (D, anti-codon, and T loops). Further hydrogen bonds mediate the characteristic L-shaped molecular structure. tRNAs have two regions of fundamental functional importance: the anti-codon, which is responsible for specific mRNA codon recognition, and the 3' end, to which the tRNAs corresponding amino acid is attached (by aminoacyl-tRNA synthetases). tRNAs cope with the degeneracy of the genetic code in two manners: having more than one tRNA (with a specific anti-codon) for a particular amino acid; and 'wobble' base-pairing, i.e. permitting non-standard base-pairing at the 3rd anti-codon position. The record is from RNAcentral. Lineage: Bacteria; Pseudomonadati; Candidatus Latescibacterota.
GGGCGGCUAGCUCAGUUGGUUAGAGUGCCACGUUGACAUCGUGGAGGUCAUAAGUUCAAAUCUUGUGCCGCCUA